This is a long non-coding RNA of Bos taurus (domestic cattle), 923 nucleotides long. The record is from Ensembl. Lineage: Eukaryota; Metazoa; Chordata; Mammalia; Artiodactyla; Bovidae.
GGAAAACACUGCACCAAGACCACACACCUUCUACUUCCUCUUCGCAUCAUCUGUGUAGUCGGCCCACUCUGCUCCUAGAGGAGACCAACUCCUUCACUCCAUCAAGCCUGAAGCACUGGCUGCUGCUGGGACAAGGGUAAACGUCCUUCUCCGGCUCCCGGGCAGCUUGCUGCUGUGAAUGACCCUGCUGGGACUUCCAUGCGUCUCUUCCUCUGAGGGAGCUGGUGAUCUGUGAGCCCUUCUUACUGCAAAGCUUCUCGUUUGGGGGAGUGGAGGGAGGAGAUCGACCAAAAUCACUGACCAGAGGAGGCACCUCUGUCCUUUUCCAAGGGCUCUGAAAGCUCUUCAAGCUUUGCUACCCCACCUCCGCCCUCCCACCACCCUGCUCCACUAGCCAACACUGACUUUCCACCCAAACUCAACCUCUCAAGCCAGACAUUUCCUUCCCAACAAUGCUUUUCAAGUGAAUUCAUGAAAUUCCUUUGUUUGCAAGUCAUAGAAACUGACUUGAAUGAACUAAAGGGAAUAAAAAAAAAGUGGCCAGAAAAAUCUUUUCUUGAGAUGAUCUUGUUUUUCUUGGCACCCUGAGGGUUCCUUCUCCAGGAAAGGGAACUUUCCCCUGUCCACCUCUGACUCCCAGCACAUAUGCAGUGAUUGCGAUAUUCAGCCCAUGGCUCCUCCAACACCCACAUGCACCUCACUCCGCCAGAGAUGAAGAAUCACAGACCUGUGGUGGCACUGCGAUGAAGACCCUUGGUGGGAGGUCAAAUGAAGUCUUCUCUGGGGUCAGCUUGGAAAAAAGAUGGAUUGGAGUAAGAGAAACUCCCUUUCCUACAAGAGGAGAGAGCCAGUCACUGCUUGAUCUACACCUUCACAAUCGCUGAAGUUGGGUCUGCAACAAGAAUCUUACGGUGCAGAGGUCG